CUUGCUUCUCUUGAGAGCGGCGGACGGGUGAGUAAUACCUAGGAAUCUGCCUGAUAGUGGGGGAUAACGUUCGGAAACGGACGCUAAUACCGCAUACGUCCUACGGGAGAAAGCAGGGGACCUUCGGGCCUUGCGCUAUCAGAUGAGCCUAGGUCGGAUUAGCUAGUUGGUGAGGUAAUGGCUCACCAAGGCUACGAUCCGUAACUGGUCUGAGAGGAUGAUCAGUCACACUGGAACUGAGACACGGUCCAGACUCCUACGGGAGGCAGCAGUGGGGAAUAUUGGACAAUGGGCGAAAGCCUGAUCCAGCCAUGCCGCGUGUGUGAAGAAGGUCUUCGGAUUGUAAAGCACUUUAAGUUGGGAGGAAGGGCAGUAAAUUAAUACUUUGCUGCUUUGACGUUACCGACAGAAUAAGCACCGGCUAACUCUGUGCCAGCAGCCGCGGUAAUACAGAGGGUGCAAGCGUUAAUCGGAAUUACUGGGCGUAAAGCGCGCGUAGGUGGUUUGUUAAGUUGAAUGUGAAAUCCCCGGGCUCAACCUGGGAACUGCAUCCAAAACUGGCAAGCUAGAGUAUGGUAGAGGGUAGUGGAAUUUCCUGUGUAGCGGUGAAAUGCGUA
Molecule: ribosomal RNA, 617 nt
Filed under: uncultured bacterium
Lineage: Bacteria
Description: bacterial SSU rRNA
Rfam family: Bacterial small subunit ribosomal RNA
Source: RNAcentral